AUUCAGCUGAAGAGUCCCAAAUAGGACGAAACAAGCAUUCUGGAU
Molecule: non-coding RNA, 45 nt
Filed under: Schistosoma curassoni
Lineage: Eukaryota; Metazoa; Platyhelminthes; Trematoda; Strigeidida; Schistosomatidae
Source: RNAcentral